AGCGAACGCUGGCGGCAGGCCUAACACAUGCAAGUCGAACGAACUCUUCGGAGUUAGUGGCGGACGGGUGAGUAACACGUGGGAACGUGCCUUUAGGUUCGGAAUAACUCAGGGAAACUUGUGCUAAUACCGAAUGUGCCCUUCGGGGGAAAGAUUUAUCGCCUUUAGAGCGGCCCGCGUCUGAUUAGCUAGUUGGUGAGGUAAAGGCUCACCAAGGCGACGAUCAGUAGCUGGUCUGAGAGGAUGAUCAGCCACAUUGGGACUGAGACACGGCCCAAACUCCUACGGGAGGCAGCAGUGGGGAAUCUUGCGCAAUGGGCGAAAGCCUGACGCAGCCAUGCCGCGUGAAUGAUGAAGGUCUUAGGAUUGUAAAAUUCUUUCACCGGGGACGAUAAUGACGGUACCCGGAGAAGAAGCCCCGGCUAUCUUCGUG
This 433-nucleotide ribosomal RNA is filed under the name uncultured bacterium. RNAcentral describes it as "partial 16S ribosomal RNA". It matches the Rfam family "Bacterial small subunit ribosomal RNA", at positions 29 to 507 of the family's 1533-position model. The record is from RNAcentral.